ACUCCUACGGGGAGGCAGCAGUGGGGAAUAUUGCACAAUGGGGGAAACCCUGAUGCAGCCAUGCCGCGUGUGUGAAGAAGGCCUUCGGUUGUAAAGCACUUUCAGUAGGGAGGAAGGUAGUGUAGUUAACACCUGCAUUAUUUGUACGUUACCUACAGAAGAAGCACCGGCUAACUCCGUGCCAGCAGCCGCGGGUAAUACGGAGGGUGCGAGCGUUAAUACGGAAUUACGUGGGACGUAAAGCGCAUGCAGGCGGCCUGUUAAGUCAGAUGUGAAACGCCCGGGGUCUUAACCGUCGGAAUUGCAUUUGAAACUGGCAGGCUAGAGUCUUGUAGAGGGGUUAGAAUUUCGA
RNAcentral lists this ribosomal RNA (352 nucleotides) under uncultured bacterium. Its description in RNAcentral is "bacterial SSU rRNA". It matches the Rfam family "Bacterial small subunit ribosomal RNA", at positions 335 to 671 of the family's 1533-position model. The record is from RNAcentral.